GAUAUUCAAUUUAAAGUGAGUAAACAGAAUUCCAUACUCGAUCUCAUAGAUCCCUAUAGAAUUUUGUGGAAAGCCGUAUUUGAAGAAAGUCGUAUGUACGGCUUGGAGGGAGAUCUUUCCUAUCUUUCGAGAUCCACCCUACAAUAUGGGGUCAAAAAGCCAAAAAAAUAA
This 171-nucleotide ribosomal RNA is filed under the name Triticum aestivum (bread wheat). The record is from RNAcentral. Lineage: Eukaryota; Viridiplantae; Streptophyta; Magnoliopsida; Poales; Poaceae.